This 742-nucleotide ribosomal RNA is filed under the name uncultured bacterium. Its description in RNAcentral is "bacterial SSU rRNA". It matches the Rfam family "Bacterial small subunit ribosomal RNA", at positions 8 to 796 of the family's 1533-position model. The record is from RNAcentral.
AGAGUUUGAUCCUGGCUCAGAACGAACGCUGGCGGCAGGCUUAACACAUGCAAGUCGAGCGCCUUGGCAACAAGGAGCGGCAGACGGGUGAGUAACGCGUGGGAAUCUACCCAACCCUACGGAACAACUCCGGGAAACUGGAGCUAAUACCGUAUACGCCCUUCGGGGGAAAGAUUUAUCGGGGAUGGAUGAGCCCGCGUUGGAUUAGCUAGUUGGUGGGGUAAAGGCCUACCAAGGCGACGAUCCAUAGCUGGUCUGAGAGGAUGAUCAGCCACAUUGGGACUGAGACACGGCCCAAACUCCUACGGGAGGCAGCAGUGGGGAAUAUUGGACAAUGGGCGCAAGCCUGAUCCAGCCAUGCCGCGUGAAUGAUGAAGGCCUUAGGGUUGUAAAGUUCUUUCACCGGAGAAGAUAAUGACGGUAUCCGGAGAAGAAGCCCCGGCUAACUUCGUGCCAGCAGCCGCGGUAAUACGAAGGGGGCUAGCGUUGUUCGGAAUUACUGGGCGUAAAGCGCACGUAGGCGGAUAUUUAAGUCAGGGGUGAAAUCCCAGAGCUCAACUCUGGAACUGCCUUUGAUACUGGGUAUCUUGAGUAUGGAAGAGGUAAGUGGAAUUGCGAGUGUAGAGGUGAAAUUCGUAGAUAUUCGCAGGAACACCAGUGGCGAAGGCGGCUUACUGGUCCAUAACUGACGCUGAGGUGCGAAAGCGUGGGGAGCAAACAGGAUUAGAUACCCUAGUAGUCC